Long non-coding RNA from Octopus sinensis (East Asian common octopus), 131 nucleotides. RefSeq lists it as uncharacterized. The transcript is spliced from 3 exons. NCBI's taxonomy places the organism in Eukaryota, Metazoa, Mollusca, Cephalopoda, Octopoda, Octopodidae. The record is from RefSeq and is a predicted model, not a curated record.
GGCUAGAGAAGAGAAAGUUUGCACAGUUGUGGAAAUUAGUUGCCCACCGGAUGUUAACAUAAAACUGAAGAUCAGUGAGAAAGAGAACACCUAUACUGAAGAACUGAGAAAUCUGCAGUUACAAGUUCAAG